This 793-nucleotide ribosomal RNA is filed under the name uncultured bacterium. RNAcentral describes it as "bacterial SSU rRNA". It matches the Rfam family "Bacterial small subunit ribosomal RNA", at positions 8 to 796 of the family's 1533-position model. The record is from RNAcentral.
AGAGUUUGAUCAUGGCUCAGGAUUAACGCUAGCGGCAGGCCUAAUACAUGCAAGUCGAACGGUAACAGGUGUAGCAAUACAUGCUGACGAGUGGCGCACGGGUGCGUAACACGUAUGCAACCUACCUAUAACUGGGGAAUAGCCUUCCGAAAGGAAGAUUAACACCGCAUAACAUCAUUCUACGGCAUCGCAGAAUGAUCAAACCUCCGGGGGUUAUAGAUGGGCAUGCGUAACAUUAGCUAGUUGGUGAGGUAACGGCUCACCAAGGCUACGAUGUUUAGGGGGUCUGAGAGGAUGAUCCCCCACACUGGUACUGAGACACGGACCAGACUCCUACGGGAGGCAGCAGUAAGGAAUAUUGGACAAUGGGGGCAACCCUGAUCCAGCCAUGCCGCGUGAAGGAUGAAGGCGCUCUGCGUUGUAAACUUCUUUUGUACGGGAAUAAACCCUUCUACGUGUAGAAGGUUGAAUGUACUGUAAGAAUAAGGAUCGGCUAACUUCGUGCCAGCAGCCGCGGUAAUACGAAGGAUCCAAGCGUUAUCCGGAUUUAUUGGGUUUAAAGGGUGCGUAGGCGGGCUAUUAAGUCAGUGGUGAAAGCCCCAAGCUUAACUUGGGAAUUGCCAUUGAUACUGAUGGUCUUGAGUACACUUGAAGUGGGCGGAAUGUGUCAUGUAGCGGUGAAAUGCUUAGAUAUGACACAGAACACCGAUUGCGAAGGCAGCUCACUAAAUUGUAACUGACGCUGAGGCACGAAAGCGUGGGGAUCAAACAGGAUUAGAUACCCUAGUAGUCC